AGUGAACGCUGGCGGUAGGCCUAACACAUGCAAGUCGAACGGCAGCACAGUAAGAGCUUGCUCUUACGGGUGGCGAGUGGCGGACGGGUGAGGAAUACAUCGGAAUCUACUUUUUCGUGGGGGAUAACGUAGGGAAACUUACGCUAAUACCGCAUACGACCUACGGGUGAAAGCAGGGGAUCUUCGGACCUUGCGCGAUUGAAUGAGCCGAUGUCGGAUUAGCUAGUUGGCGGGGUAAAGGCCCACCAAGGCGACGAUCCGUAGCUGGUCUGAGAGGAUGGUCCGGCACACUGGAACUGGGACACCGUCCCGGCUCCUACGGGAAGCAGCAGUGGGGAAUAUUUGGCAAUGGGGGCAAACCUGAUCCAGCCCUUCCGCGGGGGUGAAGAAGGCCUUCCGGUUGUAAAGCCCUUUUGUUGGGAAAGAAAAGCAGCAGGUUAAUACCCCGCUGUUCUGACGGUACCCAAAGAAUAAGCACCCGCUAACUUCGUG
RNAcentral lists this ribosomal RNA (492 nucleotides) under uncultured bacterium. RNAcentral describes it as "partial 16S ribosomal RNA". It matches the Rfam family "Bacterial small subunit ribosomal RNA", at positions 29 to 507 of the family's 1533-position model. The record is from RNAcentral.